Molecule: transfer RNA, 59 nt
Filed under: Praomys hartwigi
Lineage: Eukaryota; Metazoa; Chordata; Mammalia; Rodentia; Muridae
Description: tRNA-Ser
Source: RNAcentral
AAGAAAGUAUGCAAGAACUGCUAACUCAUGCCACCAUGUUUAAACACAUGGCUUUCUUA